RNAcentral lists this ribosomal RNA (494 nucleotides) under uncultured bacterium. RNAcentral's name for it is "partial 16S ribosomal RNA". It matches the Rfam family "Bacterial small subunit ribosomal RNA", at positions 28 to 507 of the family's 1533-position model. The record is from RNAcentral.
GACGAACGCUGGCGGCGUGCUUAACACAUGCCAGUCGAACGGAAAGGCCUGCUUUCCCUUGUGGAUUGCGGGUACUCGAGUGGCGAACGGGUGAGUAACACGUGAGUGAUCUGCCCCCAACUUGGGUAUAAGCCUGGGAAACUGGGUCUAAUUCCCGAUAGGACUGCAGGGUGGUGCCUGUGGUGGAAAACGAUUUUCCAGUGGUUGGGGAUGAGCUCGCGGCCUAUCAGCUUGUUGGUGGGGUAAUGGCCUACCAAGGCGGCGACGGGUAGCCGGCCUGGGAGGGGGGACGGCCACAUUGGGACUGAGAUACGGCCCAGACUCCUACGGGAGGCAGCAGUGGGGAAUAUUGCACAAUGGGCGGAAGCCUGAUGCAGCGACGCCGCGUGGGGGAUGACGGCCUUCGGGUUGUAAACUCCUUUCGACCGCGAGGAAGCCACCUGGUUGGAAGGGUGGUGACGGUAGUGGUAGAAGAAGCACCGGCUAACUACGUG